GAAAUGCGAUAAGUAGUGUGAAUUGCAGAAUUCAGUGAAUCAUCGAAUCUUUGAACGCACAUUGCGCCCUUUGGUUUUCCUUAGGGCAUGCCUGUUCGAGCGUCAUCUAAACCUUCAAGCCCUGCUUGGUGUUGGGUGCCUGUCCCGCCUCCGCGCGCGGACUCACCUCAAAUCCAUUGGCGGCCCCCGCGUCGGCCACGAGCGCAGCAGAAACGCGAACUCGUGAGCCCGUCCGGGCGGCUCCCAGAAGCUACACCCACCCAGUUUGACCUCGGAUCAGGUAGGGAUACCCGCUGAACUUAAGC
RNAcentral lists this unclassified non-coding RNA (305 nucleotides) under plant metagenome. RNAcentral describes it as "partial contains 5.8S ribosomal RNA, internal transcribed spacer 2, and large subunit ribosomal RNA". The stretch from base 1 to 105 matches the Rfam family "5.8S ribosomal RNA", at positions 50 to 154 of the family's 154-position model. The record is from RNAcentral.